UAGUACUCGAAAUUUCCCGUGCUGAUUUCGAUAUCUGCGAGUCGGUCACCUAUGAUGCAAGAAGAGCAUUACCAAGGGACAAUGAGGGUGACAUGCAUUUAUGUCAUCUGUGCAUGACUCAUAGAACUUAUAGUAUAACCAGACAAACAAUUGCUUGAUAAGUAUUAGUCCAAAUUGUUCCUUUGUUACCUUCGUUAUCCUUUAAAAUAGGCUUAUAGAUCUGAAUUAAGAAUAGAAUGGGAUAAAGGAUAUUAUGAAUUAAGAAUAAAAUUAGAUAAAAGAGAUAAGCAUAUAAAUGUUUUGCAACACUUUAUAUCGUUGUAUGUAAGAGAUCGUAUACGUUGAAUUGUACUCGAGAAUGAAACUGGUAAAAGCAAAGUUAAUAUUGUGGUUACAAUUAUAACAUUUAUGAAAGAAAAGAAGGCAAGGCAAAGCUAGGGCAUCUUUCUUGGCAAAGAAAAAUAGCAAUAGCAAGUCUCUUAUUUUUCAGUACUCGAAAAAAUGCUACAUAUGCGCGUUAAUCUGCUAAUCCCUAAUAAGAGCACUCGAGCAUUAAGGCGAUAAUAAAACCGAAGCCACCAGGCGAUAACGGUCAAUCAUGAUUACAUGGCAUUGCAAAUACGAUUAUCAGAUCGAUCGGACCGAUAGAGAGACGUUCGAAGAAGCGACCGAGGAAGUGUUAAGAAGAAAAAGAGAAUCCUCUAGAAGGCGAGAAAGACAACGACACAGACAAAAGAGGCAGUGAUCAUUGAUAAAUGAUUUAUGCAAGCCACUUGACUCUCAUUAAUAUCUCCCGUCACUCAAUAUAUUGGAUCUAUAUCUUCUAUUAUUUCUCACAGAGAUCAGUAUUCUGAUCAAUGACAUUGUGAUACUAGCGCCUCUGUUGGCAGAUUCUUUUGUUUCAAACAUAACCUAGAAUUAAGAACAUUAACGUAUGAAUGUGGAGCAAAAGGCGCACGUGUUUCUUUAAAAUAAUAAUGCGAUACAACAGAGUCUUCGGAUCGUAUAAUGGCAAUAUUCUUAUCUAGGAGAUACCGUUGUAUUAAAUAAGGAUACUACUAUACGUGCCACAAGUGCAAGGAGUGUUCAAUAACAAGUCUACAUGGAGGUCAGCACAAGUGCCUACAUCUGCUGUUUUUUCUCAAAUCCAAUGGACCCAAUAUCAAGUGUAUACAAAGAAAAAUAUGCUGUUACUUACUAAAGUCUCCCGGACAAGAUUUGCAACACCUGCCUGGAAGGAGAACUGGCUCUUUGCACGUAAGUUCUGGGCAUUCGUUCUUGAUGUUACGGCAGUGAACCCGCGCUACGAUUCGCCGUUUCUUCUGCACCUGAAAGCAGAACAUUAUUAUGUAUUUUCACACAUUACAACGUUUAAAAUAUUACCACGCUGUAACAGAUGGUUUUCAGUUGAACAAUAGGAAAGAGUUUGAACGAUGUCCGUUACGAAACAGAAAUCGAGUUUCUCCAUCAGCCUGUUCAUACUACUGGACACGUUCGCGGUGACGUUUGAAAGUGUGAUUGUAAUGUUUUCGAACCUGUAAACGUGCUUACAUGUUUAUUACUCCUUUACGCAUCGCUGACGACGACAGUUGCAACGUUUACAUGCACGGCGUGCAUAAAUCUAUCGUCAAGUAAUUGAUGUCUUACUCGAGCUCGACUGUGUCGUUCUUUACGAUGCAUUCAUAGCUCCAUGGUACAUGCACGAUUCAAUUCAUGAACAACGCACAUUCGUCUAAAAGAAACAUUCCUUGCUUGUUCACUUUUGUACAGAAAUAUAUUUAAUAUAUUUCUGUAUAUAAAUAUAUAUUAGUAUCCAUCGAAAUUUCAUGAUGAUAACGAAGGAACAUGAUCGUAAUUAUAAUUUGUGAUCAAAUAUGAUAAAAGGUUAUACGAGAUUUCAAUACAUAGGUGUAGACGAAGACAAAACGAAAUGAUCAGAUAGUGGAUCUAGGUAUCAAUGACGUUUAAUCAAACUGGUACUAGUAUUACCUACUUAAGUCCUAUUUGUUAUAUAUCCUUGUAGUACACGUGUAGAUUACUUAAUAAGUAAUCGAAAUUAGUAUCUACAUUGUUGUAUGAGUCAGCCGUAUUUAACGGAACUUUAUUGAUAGUCGUUUCCACUACCUGCUCAAUUAUUUCUCUACCCGACUGUUACUUGUUUGUUUAAGUUCCAUAUAAUGUAACCAGAUAAUAAAAUAAUGAUAUAAAUAAUAAUAUAUUACGAUAUGAAUUAUAAAUUAACGAUAUAAAAACUAUGAUAAUAAUAAAAAAAAAAAGAAAAACAGGUAGAACUAGAACCAUUGGAUACAAAAAUCGUAAAGUUCGAACGAGUUUCCAGCGAUCGAGCAGACACGCGUUGACCGGUCGAUAAAUAUCCGACUUUAGAGCAAAUUUGCAGCGCCUAGUUAUCUCUGGGUGUGAAAAACUAAUCUCGAAAGAUUCUUCUUCAACGGGACGCCAACCAAAGGAAUGGAUAAGAGAUCGUGCAUCCGGCGAGGGUUCCGGUUACACUGGUGCCGAGAGCAGAAAUUAAGUUUGGGGUUUUAUAGAGCUGCACGGCAUUCCUGAAACGCGAAACGAUACGUUCGAUGUUGAUUCGAGUGACAAAAUGAAAAAAAGUGAAGGGAGCGGAACGGCGCCGACCGGCGAUCAGACAACGCAGACGUUGAACUUCGCAUUACGGGAGAAUCGGGGCGCCAGGAGUAAAUUCCGAGAUUCAGUGGCCCUCGUGAGAUCGCGUGACAGUUAUUUAACUGGGACCCGCUAAGCGAGUAUGUCGGUGUAUUUUUUAUCGUCCAGAGAUACAUUUAGGUGCCUGCCGACGCAUACCUCUAGUACAUUUGAUAAGUUUCUACGACAUUGCGAGGUACAAUGUAACAGAAAGUUUUUCAGUGAUCUGGAAACAUAAAGAACGAUAAUGAUAAGGCCGAUAGUAAAAAACGAAGCAACCAUUUUUCCAUCGGCAAGCUCUCGAGGUAUUCAAUUAUGUUAUAGAUAAUGUGGCGUAAAUCUAUAUACCUUUCAUAGAAACUAACUAUAAAACUUCGCGAUUUCUACGGACUCUGUAUCUUGUUUCUUUUUAACUUUUACUUAUACAAAUAUAAAGACAUUCCAUUUUUUUAUCCCCUUAAGGAAGUUUUGAAUAUAUCCUUCGACGUUGAACACUGUACAAAUAUAGCUGUGUGACGACGCGAUCGAAAAUACCAUGCGACUGCGUUAAUAUCGCAACCAAACGGCCAAUAAGUGUAUAUAAUGUGAGUAUACAUAUACGGUGUCAUGGGAACGUUUUUGCGAGACACAGACAGAUCAAUCUUGAUGAUCGUCUCGAUUAAAAAACGUCCCGCUAUUCGCACGAGCUAGCGUGGUCCACCCACCUACGAUUUUCUCGCACCGUGGUAGUCAUUCAUUAUUUCGACAUUAUUCUAUAGGUAAUAAUAGAAGCAAGACAAACGUUCUCGCCUGAUCGGACAGGAAGUCGAUAUCGAUUUGUACGUGGAGUGUCCUGCGUGGGUCGUUCUUCGAUCGUUCUCACUUCCAACAAAUCUUUUGAUCUAUGCCGCUUCCUAA
This is a long non-coding RNA of Bombus pascuorum, 3567 nucleotides long. RefSeq lists it as uncharacterized. The transcript has 4 exons. NCBI's taxonomy places the organism in Eukaryota, Metazoa, Arthropoda, Insecta, Hymenoptera, Apidae. The record is from RefSeq and is a predicted model, not a curated record.